RNAcentral lists this unclassified non-coding RNA (4337 nucleotides) under Anneissia japonica. RNAcentral describes it as "receptor-type tyrosine-protein phosphatase alpha- like, transcript variant X1". The record is from RNAcentral. Lineage: Eukaryota; Metazoa; Echinodermata; Crinoidea; Comatulida; Comatulidae.
UUAAUGAAAUGGAAUACUGCUACCUGUAACAGCACCCAGAAUAAUUUGAGUUACCAUUAUGAACUAUCAGGAGGAGUCCACCAAGGAAGUACAACAAAAACUGAAGUUCUUAUAAAUGACGGAAUUGUACCUUGUACUCAGUACACAUUUUCAGUUUUUGCGUCGUAUAUGAAUGUUAGCAGCAUUACUGAUAUUAUGGAGUUCAUGUCUGGUGUUGACUAUCCUGGAAAACCAACCAUUAGUUCCUUAACAUCAACGUCUUCAUCAAUCGCACUGGAAUUGACAUUAUCUGAUGAUAAUCCUUGCACAAUACUAGGAUACAAUGUGCUUGUAUAUAGUGAUAUACAGAAUUUAGAGUUCAAUAUGGAUACCACAGCGACUUCACUGACAGUUAAUGAAAAUAUAAUGCCGAAUACUAUCUACAAUAUCCAGGUAGCAGCCAAAACUCAAAAAGGCUUCGGUAAUUUCUCUGAUGUUGGUUAUGUGUCUACCGAUGCAGAGUCUGGCAUAGGUGGUAUAGUAGGUGGUGUUAUCGGAAGUUUAUCUGCGGCAAUCAGUAUUGUCUUUGCCUUGAUUUUUGUUAAACGACGCCGCAAUUCAAGCAAUGAAGUUGUUAGACCAGCUGCUGUUCAAAAACAAGGUGUUUUCGACACAGAAAAUGAAUUGAUGCCUGCAGUUGAAGGUCAUGCUAAUUUAGUGGAUGUGAGAAGUCCGGAUGAUGAGGAUGAUGGUGCUCCUCCAAUUGAAAACGUGUAUGCGAACUCUGAACCUGUUUAUGGAAAUACAAACUUGGAAAAUCAGGAAUACAGACCGAUUGAGUUAGCAAGGCUGCAUAAUUACGUGAAGAAACAAAACAGCAGCCUAAAAAACGGAUUUGAAAAGGAAUUUGAGGACAUUGGCAACAAGCCCCUGUAUCCCUGGACCGCUGCAAAACAUGCCAAGAAUAGAACUAAAAACAGAUAUGCAAAUGUUAUUCCAUAUGACAAUUCACGUGUAGUACUUGAUAUGUGGAAUAACAUUCCUGAGUCAGACUAUAUAAAUGCUUCGUAUUUAGAUGGAUAUACGACACCACGUGAGUUCAUUGCAUGUCAAGGUCCAAAUGUUGCAUCAGUCAAUGAUAUGUGGAGAAUGAUCUGGCAGGAAAAGUCAACGAUAAUUGUGGUUGUUACUAAUGUCUUCGAAGGAACCAAGCGAAAAUGCGAGCAGUAUUGGCCAGAAGAAAAUGAUGGUAAACGAUAUGCAAACAUUACUGUAGCGAACGCAGGGGAGACCAAAUAUGGACAUUAUGUGGUUAGAAAUCUACAACUUCAGAAGGUUGGGAAGGAAGAGUUACAUAAUGUAUUUCAAUAUCAUUUCACUGAUUGGCCAGAUAAGAGUGUUCCCCGCGCUGUUCCACAUUUGAUUGACUUCAUCUACGCCUUUAGGACAGCACAGCAGAAUUCUCCAAGCGACAGUGGACCAGUCAUAGUACACUGCAGUGCUGGAGCUGGUAGGACAGGUACAGUUAUUGUAAUUGCUUCAAUGCUGGACAUGGCAAAGCAAGAAGGGAAGGUAGACGUGUUUAAUUUUGUGCGAAGCAUGAGGGAGAAACGUAUCCAAAUGGUGCAAACCGAGGAGCAAUACAGAUUCAUCUAUGCAGUAUUACUUGAAGAGUUGUUCUGUGGACAGACACAAAUUCCAGUAUCUGAUUUAUACCAAGUAAUCCAUGAACAACAACAAGUGCAGGGAACGCACUCAACUUUCGAAUACCAACUAAAGACUUUAAACAGUAUAUAUCCUAGUCCUAUUGAUGAUGAUCGUACAUCACAUGCCAGGCUUCCCGACAACAUAUUGAAGAAUCGUUCCAAAGUUGUCUUACCAUUAAAUAAAGCUCGUCCUUUCUUGAUGACUCCAUGCACCAACGGAAAUGAUUACAUCAAUGCAUCAUUCUGCGACGGCUACAACAAGCAAAACGCAUUUAUUGUUGCCCAGGCUCCAAUGUCUGAGCCUGCCGACACAACUGUUGAUUUUUGGCGUUUAGUGUUAGAUUACAAGACGGACAUAAUCGUACAACUGAAUAACAAAGAUGAAACUUGCACCGCAUACCUUCCUCAACGGAUGAAUGAAGAGCUGAAGAUUGAUAAAUUUACCAUUAGCAUCAUUUCGUCUGAGCAGAACGACUUAAUGAUCGAACGGAAAAUCAUGCUACAAAAGGACAAUGAUGUACAAGAGAUUCUGCACUUUGAGUUUCGGCAGUGGUCUAAGGCAGAACCUGUUCCAAAGGUUGACUCAUUUGUCAGAUUUAUUGCAGCCGUUCAACGUGGUCACAUUCCUCAAAGUAACCGGCCAAUCAUCAUUCAUUGUCUGGAUGGCGCGGUUCGAUCAGGAUUGUUCUGCUCCGUUUAUUCAAUAAUCGAUAAAAUUAAAGAAGAGAAAAUUGUGGAUGUAUUCCAAAUACUGAAAACCCUGCGAUCAGUUUGCCCUGCAAUGGUGAAUACUAAGGUGCAGUAUAGAUUUUGCUACGAUGCAGCGCGGUGUUACCUUGACGGAUUUGAAGCUUAUGUCAACUUUUAGUUAUAUCAAAAUCCAUAUGUUACUCAGAAGACACAUUUGAUAGUCAUAAAUUUAUUUGUGUUAAUUUAAUAGUUAAAUUGGAUAAGUAUUAUCAGUUAUUAAAAAAUUAUUACUCAUAAUAUCCUUAUUUUCACACCAAACUGCAAGAAAAGUUCAACAAUUACAGAAUGCCAACAAAUGCAAUCUCUAUUGUCAUGGAAAAUGCCUCUUUUAACAUUUACAAAUGAACUUAUAAUAUUACAAUACAAAUCUGUUUACUUCUAAAAAAUAAGUGGCACACGCCAUGUAUUCAAGCAAUAACAAAUCAAAGUAAUGUAAGGUAUAGGAAGAAGCAUGCCAUCAUGAUUUAGGCUCAGUCGGCAACAUUUUACUUCUAAGGACCCAUAGUUAGCCUAGCUUCCCACUACCAAGACUUCAAGUUAUCAUAGAAAUGUUGUCAAAGAUACAAAAUAUACGACCAAUGUAAUACAGUAGCACCCCCUACUCUGGGACACCCUAUUAAGGGGACACUUUUUAGUGAACCAACCCCUAUUAAAGGGACACUUUUUUUUUUUUUAUUGUAUCGCAAAAAACUACAGCUGUCUAAAAGGUUUUAAAAAAAAUCAUUAAACUUUAUAUUCUGAUAAAUUUUGAGCAAUGAACUUCACAUCCAACCAGAAUUUUCUCCCCUGAAUCCGGUGUGAACAUCGGUAUAGGCCCCUAAUGCUUAAUUAAUUUGUUUAAAGUUCCAAACUAUUUUUUUUUUAGUUGGGCUCACGGUCACGGGCCAAAGAUAAUAUCUGAGUAAUAAAGCAGCUCGUUAUAAUGUUUUUGGUAAUUUCAAAAUCUACUUUUUUUUUGUGCUACACAAGAAUAUUAGGGUAGUGCAAACAUUAAUAUUCUCUAAAUGUAAGCAAAGAAUAUAUAUCAAUAACCAUUCUGUUCACACCCUUGUUCACUUUAUAGCAACUGGAAUAUCUUUAAAGAAAGUCCAAUUUUAAAUACUAAUGUUGGAAUGUUACAAUAACAGUUUAUAAAAAAAACCUGUGAAUUAUGAUGUUUAAUUACAACUCACCGAUUCGACCGAACAAUCAGCGUCACCAUAAGUUGUUGGCGAUAGAGUGUAGUGAUUUUAUGGAAACUAUGGUAUAUUUUAUAUAUGGUUCAAUGUAUUGGACAAUUUUCAGUGACGUUUUUAAUUAUGACUAGAUAGACCUAAUCUCAAAAUUACAAAUAUUGUUCAAAUGAAAAAAAUGGAAUCUGCACAUGUUAAUAGUUUUAGUUUUUGGGUUUUGGAAUGACAGAAGUAAUAUUAUCAAAUGAUAUGAAAUAUUUUACAAAAUAUAGUCCUACACUGUUAUUUUCGAGGAUUUAUUUUAACUCCCAACUCCUAAAAAUGUACAGAAUAACUCCUUCGUAAUUAAAAUAUCGCCUUGAAAAUAACAGUGUAACCUUUUUAUGGUAUAUGAUUUUUCAUUUAUAAUUACUCCAAAUAUAUACCUAAAUAUAUUCCAUGACACCAUUAUUUUCAUUCUUUUUAUGUAUUGAUAUGUAUUGGUUAAAUGGACUAAGAUUUUUAGCUAUUUUUACAAAUAGAUUUAUUUUUGUAUAUUAAUUUAACAUAUACUUUUAAAAUCGUUAAUUUAAGAAAGUGAAGUCAUUGUAAUGCUUAUAACACAAUGCCUCACCUGAUCUAAAAAUUAAUAAUGGAGAGUGUUUGGUCUGAUGAAUGCAUGGUUUGGCUUUCAAAAUUUCUCCAUAAUGCUUAAUGUCUAGUUAUCUUGUAGAUUAUCUAGGUAGUUUAA